RNAcentral lists this ribosomal RNA (409 nucleotides) under Burkholderiales bacterium. Its description in RNAcentral is "bacterial SSU rRNA". It matches the Rfam family "Bacterial small subunit ribosomal RNA", at positions 147 to 551 of the family's 1533-position model. Lineage: Bacteria; Pseudomonadati; Pseudomonadota; Betaproteobacteria; Burkholderiales. The record is from RNAcentral.
CUAGUCGAAAGAUUAGCUAAUACCGCAUACGAUCUACGGAUGAAAGUGGGGGAUCGCAAGACCUCAUGCUCGUGGAGCGGCCGAUAUCUGAUUAGCUAGUUGGUGGGGUAAAGGCCUACCAAGGCGACGAUCAGUAGCUGGUCUGAGAGGACGACCAGCCACACUGGGACUGAGACACGGCCCAGACUCCUACGGGAGGCAGCAGUGGGGAAUUUUGGACAAUGGGGGCAACCCUGAUCCAGCAAUGCCGCGUGUGUGAAGAAGGCCUUCGGGUUGUAAAGCACUUUUGUUCGGAAAGAAAUCAUCCUGGCUAAUACCUGGGGUGGAUGACGGUACCGGAAGAAUAAGCACCGGCUAACUACGUGCCAGCAGCCGCGGUAAUACGUAGGGUGCGAGCGUUAAUCGGAAU